AUGUGGAAUAAGGAGCCCAGGCGACGUGUCCGUGUGUUAGGUCUGGGUCCAACACCUCACGAUUUGGGCACACUGGGUACAUGGGGUAAAUUGAGCACAAGAGUUCUAGUUGAAAUGCAAGGGCAUCGAGAAGCUGAAAAUCGCUAUAACAUGCUCCAGGGGCAUGUGCAACAAAUGGAAGAACGAAUGAACCGAAUGGAAUUGAUGUUAGCUUCACAAGGAAGGCAUAAUCUGGAAACUCCUAGCUCGCAGCACGGUUCCAAUUCUCGACAAAACUCCGGAGCUGAAGCUGAGGAACAUAAUGAUGCUGAAGAAGAUGUUUGA
This 324-nucleotide ribosomal RNA is filed under the name Triticum aestivum (bread wheat). RNAcentral describes it as "partial small subunit ribosomal RNA". Lineage: Eukaryota; Viridiplantae; Streptophyta; Magnoliopsida; Poales; Poaceae. The record is from RNAcentral.